AGAGUUUGAUCCUGGCUCAGGAUUAACGCUGGCGGCAUGCCUAAUACAUGCAAGUCGAACGAAAGUAGCAAUACUUUAGUGGCGAACGGGUGAGUAACACGUAGGAAACCUACCUCAAAGACGAGGAUAACUACUGGAAACGGUAGCUAAAACUGGAUAGGAUAUACGAAGGCAUCUUUGUAUAUUUAAAAGUCCUUCUGGGAAUGCUAUGAGAUGGUCCUGCGGCGCAUUAGCUAGUUGGUGAGGUAAAGGCCCACCAAGGCGACGAUGCGUAGCUGUGCUGAGAGGCAAAACAGCCACACUGGGACUGAGACACGGCCCAGACUCCUACGGGAGGCAGCAGUAGGGAAUUUUCGGCAAUGGGCGAAAGCCUGACCGAGCAAUGCCGCGUGAAUGAAGAAAUUCUUCGGAAUGUAAAAUUCUGUGGUGAGGGAAGAAAAGUAUUAGAAGGAAAUGGCUAAUAUUUGACGGUACCUUACUAGAAAGCCCCGGCUAACUAUGUGCCAGCAGCCGCGGUAAUACAUAGGGGGCAAGCGUUAUCCGGAAUUAUUGGGCGUAAAGCGUGCGUAGGCGGCCACUUAAGUCUGUCGUGAAAGCCCACAGCUUAACUGUGGAGGGUCGAUGGAAACUGGGAGGCUUGAAUCUAGGAGAGGUAAGUGGAAUUCCAUGUGUAGCGGUAAAAUGCUUAGAUAUAUGGAGGAACACCAGUGGCGAAGGCGGCUUACUGGUCUAGAAUUGACGCUGAUGCACGAAAGCGUGGGUAGCAAACAGGAUUAGAUACCCUGGUAGUCCACGCCGUAAACGAUGAGCACUAAGUGUCGGACGUAAGUUCGGUGCUGAAGUUAACGCAUUAAGUGCUCCGCCUGGGGAGUACGGUCGCAAGACUGAAACUCAAAG
RNAcentral lists this ribosomal RNA (897 nucleotides) under human gut metagenome. RNAcentral describes it as "bacterial SSU rRNA". It matches the Rfam family "Bacterial small subunit ribosomal RNA", at positions 8 to 906 of the family's 1533-position model. The record is from RNAcentral.